UUGGGGGAGGCUCCGCCCGCUUUCUGCGGAGUGUGCUGCCACCUGGAGGGAGGGCGGUGUCCGGCCUGGGGGAGGACGCCGCUCGUUGCCGCGGGGGGAUCCUGUCCCUGCGCGGGGACGAGGGCCGACGCCGGGGCGGGGAGGUGGGCAGGAGCUAAGAGCCUGAGGCCGCACUCGGAAGCGCCCGCUGGCGCGUUUCUCCCCAAACAGCCGCCUCCUGCGUUCGGAAGGCUGGGUGGUGCCCGCCGCCCCUGCUCUGUCGCCUCCCGCGUGCCUAGGGGACGGAUCCUCCUGCGGCUGCGCGCCGGCCAGCAAGACGCGGCGAGCCAGUUCUCUGAAGGGGGACGAAGUCCUGUUGGGUUGUCUCGUCUGAAGCCGCCACUUUACAUCCCCGCGCCCCGCCCUGGACAUCCCCGCAGCCUUCGCGGGCCUCCCCGGAGGGCACCCCGGAGAGACACCUGCAGACUCACACUUCUGUCUUCCAGACAGUCCAAGAAAAUGGCAUUGUGCCAUUUGUGCUAUUUGUACCCAGGUGUGGUGAGGCCAGCAGACCAGGAGACAGCAGCCGCCACUGAGAAGCUGUGCUCAGAGAUCCCGGGAGGAGGCCACGCUGCGCCUGCAGAGCGGGACCACAGAGGAAGGAACAGGAAAAGGCUCCCACCUCUUGGACUGAUCUUGGACUUCCCGGCCUCCAGAGCGGCAAGAAAUAAAUUCUAUUGUUUACAAGC
This is a long non-coding RNA of Leopardus geoffroyi (Geoffroy's cat), 728 nucleotides long. RefSeq lists it as uncharacterized. NCBI's taxonomy places the organism in Eukaryota, Metazoa, Chordata, Mammalia, Carnivora, Felidae. The transcript has 2 exons. The record is from RefSeq and is a predicted model, not a curated record.